CCUACGGGGGGCUGCAGUGGGGAAUAUUGCACAAUGGGGGAAACCCUGAUGCAGCGACGCCGCGUGAAGGAAGAAGGUUUUCGGAUCGUAAACUUCUAUCAGCAGGGAAGAAGGAAGUGACAGUACCUGACUAAGAAGCCCCGGCUAACUACGUGCCAGCAGCCGCGGUAAAACGGAGGGGGCAAGCGUUAUCCGGACUCACUGGGGGUAAAGGGUGCGUAGGCGGUAGGGCAAUUCCGAUGUGAAAGCCCGGGGCUGAACCCCGUGAGUGCAUUUGAAACUGUCUUACUAGAAUGCAGGAGAGGAAAGCGGAUUUCUUAGUGUAGCGGUGAAAUGCGUAGAUAUUAGGAAGAACGCCAGUGGCGAAGGCGGCUUUCUGGACUGUAACUGACGCUGAGGCACGAAAGCGUGGGGAGCGAACAGGAUUAGAUACCCUUGUAGUC
This 443-nucleotide ribosomal RNA is filed under the name uncultured bacterium. RNAcentral describes it as "bacterial SSU rRNA". It matches the Rfam family "Bacterial small subunit ribosomal RNA", at positions 338 to 795 of the family's 1533-position model. The record is from RNAcentral.